GGCAGUGGGAAAACUAAUAACUGAAAAGGGCUCAAGGCCUGGAGGUUACAUCCAAUGGGCUAGGAUUGAUUGGUUUGCUAUUAGGAAUAGAUCUAGUUCUCUGCUCAGCAGCCUAACAAGCGAUAGAGAAACAGCUGUCUAAAAUGGGCAGAACGAAGAGCACUACAGGGAUAGUAACAGCAAAAGCGAUGGAAUGUCACUAUCCAUGAGCCUAAAGCAGUUUGGCACAUUGUAGGUGCUCCAUCAAUAUUUGUUGAAAAAACAAAGACAACUCUCAGGUUUCUGGUUUGAGCAACCGGGUGAUUGUGGCUUACUGAGGCAAGAAACACAGAAGGAUACAGAGUCCGAUGGGAAGUGACAAGUUCCUUUUUUGACAUGCUGAGUCCGUGUCUUGUGAGAGCAAUGUCCAGGGCACCUCACAACAUGGGAGCUUGCUUCAUUCACCAGAGCAAACCUGAAAGGAGAAUCCAUGAAAGAGUGUGAG
This 484-nucleotide long non-coding RNA is filed under the name Homo sapiens (human). RNAcentral's name for it is "HSALNT0314277". The record is from RNAcentral. Lineage: Eukaryota; Metazoa; Chordata; Mammalia; Primates; Hominidae.